CAGGGAUUGCCUCAGUAACGGCGAGUGAAGCGGCAACAGCUCAAAUUUGAAAGCUGGCUCUUGCAGAGCCCGCGUUGUAAUUUGUAGAGGAUGCUUCGGGCGCGGCGCUGGUCUAAGUUCUUUGGAACAAGACGUCAUAGAGGGUGAGAAUCCCGUAUGUGACUAGCUGCCUGUGCCUAUGUGAAGCUCCUUCGACGAGUCGAGUUGUUUGGGAAUGCAGCUCAAAAUGGGUGGUGUACUUCAUCUAAAGCUAAAUAUUGGCCAGAGACCGAUAGCGCACAAGUAGAGUGAUCGAAAGAUGAAAAGCACUUUGGAAAGAGAGUUAAACAGUACGUGAAAUUGUUGAAAGGGAAGCGCUUGCAAUCAGACUUGCGCGGCGUCGAUCAACCUGGGUUCUCCCUGGUGCACUCGGCGCUGCUCAGGCCAGCAUCAGUUUCAGCGGUUGGAUAAAGGCCUAGGGAACGUGGGUUACUUCGGUGACUGUUAUAGCCCUAGGUGCAAUGCAGCCUGUUGGGACUGAGGACCGCGCUUCGGCUAGGAUGCUGGCGUAAUGGUUGUAAGCGACCCGUCUUGAAACACGGACCAAGGAGUCUAACAUCUAUGCGAGUUUUUGGGUGUUAAACCCAUAAGCGUAAUGAAAGUGAACGGAGGUGAGAACCCUUAAGGGUGCAUCAUCGACCGAUCCUGAUGUCUUCGGAUGGAUUUGAGUAAGAGCAUAGCUGUUGGGACCCGAAAGAUGGUGAUCUAUACUUGAAUAGGGUGAAGCCAGAGGAAACUCUGGUGGAGGCUCGCAGCGGUUCUGACGUGCAAAUCGAUCGUCAAAUUUGAGUAUAGGGGCGAAAGACUAAUCGAACCAU
RNAcentral lists this ribosomal RNA (857 nucleotides) under Spathularia rufa. RNAcentral's name for it is "partial large subunit ribosomal RNA". It matches the Rfam family "Eukaryotic large subunit ribosomal RNA", at positions 69 to 943 of the family's 3401-position model. The record is from RNAcentral. Lineage: Eukaryota; Fungi; Ascomycota; Leotiomycetes; Rhytismatales; Cudoniaceae.